GGCAGCAAGAGAGUGAGAAUGGAAACUGCAAGAUUUCUUGAUUCCUUGCUUAGAAAUAACACAAUGUCACUUCAGCUGCAAGUACCAAGACACCUGAAAUUGUGUCCUGAAAAUGCAUACAACAAGACAGAGAAAUUUGCUGAAAAAGCACCACAGCAAGAAACAACUAACACAUCCAAUCACCAAAAAGAAGAAAGUGACCAUGCUAACUCCUUUACAACAGACAAUCCAGUCAGCCAUCCUGAACAACUUGUCUCUGCAGAUCCAGGU
This 270-nucleotide long non-coding RNA is filed under the name Pan troglodytes (chimpanzee). RNAcentral's name for it is "long non-coding RNA NONPTRT011489". The record is from RNAcentral. Lineage: Eukaryota; Metazoa; Chordata; Mammalia; Primates; Hominidae.